AACGAACGCUGGCGGCAUGCCUAACACAUGCAAGUCGAACGAGACCUUCGGGUCUAGGGGCGCACGGGUGCGUAACGCGUGGGAACCUGCCCUUAGGUUCGGAAUAACUCCCCGAAAGGGGUGCUAAUACCGGAUAAUGUCUUCGGACCAAAGAUUUAUCGCCUUUGGAUGGGCCCGCGUUGGAUUAGCUAGUUGGUAGGGUAAAAGCCUACCAAGGCGACGAUCCAUAGCUGGUCUGAGAGGAUGAUCAGCCAGACUGGGACUGAGACACGGCCCAGACUCGUACGGGAGGCAGCAGUGGGGAAUAUUGGACACUGGGCGAAAGCCUGAUCAAGCAAUGCCGCGUGAGUGAUGAAGGCCUUAGGGUUGUAAAGCUCUUUUACCCGGGAUGAUAAUGACAGUACCGGGAGAAUAAGCUCCGGCUAACUACGUG
This 433-nucleotide ribosomal RNA is filed under the name uncultured bacterium. RNAcentral's name for it is "partial 16S ribosomal RNA". It matches the Rfam family "Bacterial small subunit ribosomal RNA", at positions 29 to 507 of the family's 1533-position model. The record is from RNAcentral.